AGUAGCUUGCUACUUACGAGUGGCGGACGGGUGAGUAACGUAUGGGAAUUUACCGAAUGGAGGGGGACAACAGUUGGAAACGGAUGCUAAUACCGCAUAACGUCGAGAGACCAAAGGGUUUCGACUUGCCAUUUGAUGAGCCCAUAUGAGAUUAGCUAGUUGGUGUGGUAAUGGCUCACCAAGGCGACGAUCUCUAGCUGGUUUGAGAGGAUGACCGGCCACACUGGGAC
RNAcentral lists this ribosomal RNA (230 nucleotides) under uncultured Enterobacteriaceae bacterium. RNAcentral's name for it is "partial 16S ribosomal RNA". It matches the Rfam family "Bacterial small subunit ribosomal RNA", at positions 74 to 319 of the family's 1533-position model. The record is from RNAcentral. Lineage: Bacteria; Pseudomonadati; Pseudomonadota; Gammaproteobacteria; Enterobacterales; Enterobacteriaceae.